Molecule: long non-coding RNA, 758 nt
Organism: Spinacia oleracea (spinach)
Lineage: Eukaryota; Viridiplantae; Streptophyta; Magnoliopsida; Caryophyllales; Amaranthaceae
Exons: 3
Source: RefSeq, a predicted model, not a curated record
GUGGAGGCCUUGCAUUCAAUGACCAGGGGGAGCGCAUUGGUGUGGCAUUUCAGGUAUGGGCUAUAUAGUUUUUAAAAUCAAACAAAAUGAACCCCUUAAACAAACGAAAACAGAACACGAAACAAACGUGCUGAUGUUGUUAAAGUUGAAAUCUUGUUCGAGGUUUUUCAGCAAGUGCAAUGGAGGAUAUUCGGCAUCUACAAAUUUGCAAAUAAAGAGAAGGCUAGAGUUGCAUAGAGAAUGUUCUGUGUAGAAUUAUACCUGCCAAAUCGUCUCAGGUUCGUCCACCAUCUCCUACGUUUCUCGUUGCUUUUUUUUCUUGUUUUUUGAUCUUCUUUUUUUUUGCUUUAACCUAAUAAUUUUAUUUUUUAUUAAAUUCUUCAUCCUUCUCAUUGUCCUCGCAAGUCACAGUGGCAGAGAAGACCAUUAGCGAUUCUUCAUUUCAGAUUCAAUUUUGAGCCUGUGUGUUGUAAUUUCCGAGCAUUGCUUGCUAUCAAAUUUUUGUUCCAGAGGAGUAUUUAGCUUACAACCAUGUCAGAAGGCUCUACUGUAUUAAGUGUGCUAAAUGUGCUGAAGGAUGAGCCUGGCAGCAGUUCUUUGAAAAGAAGAACUACAAUAUAAGUUGUUCAAUGCCUUGAAUGUAAACAAAUAAUAGAAGUGUGCAUAAUAUUACAAUGUUAAUGUACGGUACUAAUAAUUAUUUUGUUGUAGUUAAUAUCAAUUUUAAACAAAUUCAUGUAAGACUCAUUUUUUCUUCC